CGGGAAACAUAGGGAAGUCACCCGGAGCUUCCCAGGAAUGGCGUGCGAGCAGGACCGGUAACAUGGUCUUACGGCCUCGAGUGUCACGAUAUCCUGGGGGUAUGUUUGAAUAGCAUCAUGAAGUGAUUCUUCUGACCAGCAAGGACAGUAAUUUGAAGCCUUGAAAGAAAUUUUGAAAAUGGACCGCAAGUAACUCAGCGGACAUUUUAGCCUGCAUUAGCAAUGACAUCAGGAGCGCAGAAGAGUGCCCUUCUGUUCCUGAAAAGACUUGCUAACUGUGAUGACGAUGGCUGCCUGCAUUCUUAUCAGGCUUCACAGGAUCAAGGACUCCCUGCUAUUUGCUAAAGAAGCCUCACUGUGGUGUCAAGGUCCUGUGCACGGGGUCUGCGCGUUUUAAUUAACGUGUAGGGCUUUUCUUUGUCUAUUUGGUUUUAGCUAAUACAGCUAUCAGUAUGUACCAGCGUCAGCCUAUCAUGGCCUUCAUGUUCUUAUCCCCUGCUAGAAGCACCUUCACAGUGGACGUGAAAAGUCAACUUAUAUGAUGAACAAUUUACUGUGUGUUAACUCAAGAAAAUGCAAGAUGUCAGAAGGAUUUCUUCUUUUCCUCUUAGAACAGAGGAAUUUUCCUUAAGAUUGUUUAAAGGUGUGCUCUGCUUUUCUUGGUUUGAGGAAUUGUUAGUUUCCCCCUUUUCAUCAUUCAAACAUACAAAUUAAAAAAGUACUUCAACAUUCUUGGGAACAACUAAGACACAAAAUUCACAUAUGACACUACUUAGAAAAACUGACAACAUAAAAUUAUUUCUAUAAGGUAGUGAGCAUCAAAGCUGCAAUUUUAGAAAGUGCUAGAGAAGCUUAUGUCUGUUUAUAUACUAUAUUCGCUUUUUUCUUUCUGCUUCACUGUUCAAACCGGCAUUGUUACAUUGGUUCAGAAAACGGAAUGGUAAAAGAAAAAUCGCUGAAAUGUCUAAAUUCUUCCUUUUUUUUUUUGUUAUUUGCAAGAAGAGUCACAAGGGAUCAGGACACACACUGUGGCUCCUAAACAGGCAACAGAUAGAUGCCAUAACCAGAUUCUUCUCACUCUGAAACUUCAUGUGGAAAUCCUGCAUCCUUCUUCAUGCAGAAGAGCCUGGCUCCCUGGAAGAGUCAAAGAGAGCAAUAUUAGAGAAAAUCCUAAUCCCAUGAACAUGAGGGUAAUGCCACUCACAAAAGUAACUCCAUUCAUGCAUGAAAAUAUCUGAAAGUUGAGGCUAUAAGACAGCAGCUAACUUAAUGCUAGCUAUUUAGAGGAGGCGAGGGAACAGUCUUUAGUAUUUUUUUUGCUUGAUAGAGCUACCACCUAUUAAAAACAGUAACAAAACCAACUAUAAACAAACAACCCCCCAAAAAAGAAAAUGAAGAAAUGAAGGUUAUAUCUCACUAGUUUCAAACUGGUGCACUUGUAAAGAUAUUGGUGCACUUAAAAGAACUCUGCAAUGUAAAGAUAAAGGGAAAAUGAAUCUACAAAAAAAUUAUUAAAUUACCUUAUGAAGUUUAUAAUUUUGAAAUUUACGUGGGAAAGGGAAGUAAACCAUUCCCUAUAGACAGUGUAUUAUGGGAAAAGUGAUUCCCUCCCCCAGUUCUAAGUAACUACUAGGAUGGGAAGUGUGAAGGUACAAUAUGCAAGAAUUUACUAAAGAAAAUUGUCAGAGGUUUUUUUUCUAUAAGCAGUAUCAAACAUUUUAAAAACUGCACUUUCAUUAUUUAGAAAAGUAUUUUCUUAUCUAAAAAGCUUCAUAUGUUUUCUUUGUGGUCUACUUGUAUUUCACUCCUUUCUUUGCACAUGGAAUUCCUCUGCCAUAACCUUACACUGCUGGAUACACAAAAAAGAAUUAGUUUGACAGGGAGGUUUUGGUGAAAUAUAGUAAUGAAAGUGAAGUAAAUCUUCUGCUUAUCACUCAAGAAAAAAUGGUGUAUUUCACUCCCUGAGCUUUAACAUCGUACGCCCUGCAGCAAGUAAUUUACAGACGAUCAUCACCUUGCUACUCUCGCCUCUCAUUUCCCUACUUGAACUCUCUUCAUUAACCCAGCAAUUUGCAAUGGCAUUGGGUGGUGGAUUUACCACAGGACCUGCUCCAAAUGGUCUCUGGCGGCAAGAGAGCCAAAAAGUAAAUUGAAUUUCCCAUGUGAAAGCCUCUUUUUCUUUUUUCCCUUUUUUGUUUUCUCUUGUCUUAAAAUGUAAUAUAAUUGCCAUGAUCCAGGUCUGGUUAAUAACAUAAAUAUAGAGCUAGAGGGUCAAAAUACUACCAUCCCUAGAAUAAAUAAUAAAUCAAUUUGAAAGGUAAUAUUUUACAUUUGAUUCUAUUUUUAAAAUUUCUAUUUCCCGUGUGGCUUUUUGGUUUAGAGUAGAUUUUUAAUGUUAUUGCAGUAUUUUUAGGAUUGGUUUAUUUUUGCUUGAUAAUAUUAGGGUCUAAAUAUUACUGUCCUGGGAGGUUUGGAAAGGAAUUUUGAACCUAGUCUAUCGUGUGACGUAAUCUAAAUCAAAAUGACAUUAUUAUGUGCCAGGACUUGCUUUGCUUUUGCUAAACAAAUGUCACUAGGCCGGUGAACGUUUGUGUGGAAAAGACCACAACGAAAACUAUUACCUUCCUGGAUAUCUGCAUGCCUCGAAGUGCAUGUCUUUCAUGUAUCAUCAGCAGUAAUGCCAAACCUCCACCUUUUGAAGCCAAAACCUUCUUCAAACAGCUGAGUUAUGCCUGAGCUUCCAUCUUAACUUAGUUUGAAUUCUGAUUUUGAUACGGCUUUUUUUUUUUUUUUUCGUUUUCACUUUUCCAGAGGUUGCUCUGUACUCAGAAAAAGACCAUUAACUGAUUUUUUACUCAGUGAAGAACAGAUUGUUAUGUGACAUGUGUGGUACCAGGAGUGUAGACUAACAGUAGAUUGACAUGCCAGGAAGAAGGCACAUGGGCUUUACACACAGGUUUUUAUAAAAUACGUAAAAAUUUUUAUGUGAUGGACUCGACACUUCACCAGAGAGGGAGCAAGGGUAACAGUCCUACUGAUUGCUGGGUUUUGCCAUUGGAGCUCAAUCGGGAAAGAGCACCUAUUUAAGACAUAUAAUGAGCACAGACUGUCUUUGCUCUGCUGGACUAAUCUCCCCGAGCAACUCCUUGUUCCUCUAAGGGUUUACUCCCCAAAACUGAUGCUAUCUCUUCCUACCAUACCUUCUGCAUACACACGUACAAAGGACUUUGAAGCAAUUACCAUCCUUAACAUCCUAGAACAAUUUAAGGAGAAUAAGACUUGCAAAUUGAAGUAGUGGUCAUUUCUAUCAACUUUGAUUUAGUUCAAUGAUUGCAAAUAAUAAUUAGUAGUUGGUAUUUGAACACAUUAUCAUUGAAAACUCCCCAGUGAUUACAGAACAUCGAGGUCAUUUAUACGAACAGUUGCACCUAUUCCAAGGCAAAUGAGUGGGAUUUGUGGCUGAAACCCAGGGCCUUUUACAUGCCUUGAAUAAUCUCACUGGAAGUGUUUCAGUGCCCUCUUAUCACAUUUCUCUUGUAUGAAUUACUGUUUCACCAUUUCACCUCUCAAGAUGAAAAUUCUGGCAGCACUCAUGAUAGAUGAAUAAUUUCAAACCCUAAAAUUUCCCUUUCAAUUCUUUACAACAUCUGUCUAUUUUUAAUAUUUAAUUAAAAGUUAGGAUAAAUAUGCAGUUGCUGAAGUGAGCCCUGAGGAAUUUAGGGUUACUGCAGGAAUACUAAGUGCAAAAUGAACUUAUGUAGUUACCAGACAUUACAAAGAAGUUCAAAGUCGUUGCUACACUAUUUGAAUCAAAAUUUUCUGUAAUAUCUGUCAUUUCUUUAAAGUUUGCUUUUUUCUAAGGUUUAUUAGUAAAGAGUUUAUAUUGACCAAAUAUUUUCUUAGGAAACUUCAUGUAAAAUCAGGAUAUUGAACACUGUUUUGGAAUAUCAACCGCUGCCUUAAACUUUCUUUUUUUUUAAAAAAAACCCCAAAAAGUAGCAGCAAAUCCCCAAAAUAAGUUUGGAGUUUUUCUCUGAUUUCAUGUUAAAAUAAAAAUAAUUAUUUCCUGCUCA
Long non-coding RNA from Corvus hawaiiensis (hawaiian crow), 4073 nucleotides. RefSeq lists it as uncharacterized. The transcript has 3 exons. Lineage: Eukaryota; Metazoa; Chordata; Aves; Passeriformes; Corvidae. The record is from RefSeq and is a predicted model, not a curated record.